RNAcentral lists this transfer RNA (76 nucleotides) under Pseudopedobacter sp. RNAcentral's name for it is "tRNA-Lys". It matches the Rfam family "tRNA". Rfam says of the family: Transfer RNA (tRNA) molecules are approximately 80 nucleotides in length. Their secondary structure includes four short double-helical elements and three loops (D, anti-codon, and T loops). Further hydrogen bonds mediate the characteristic L-shaped molecular structure. tRNAs have two regions of fundamental functional importance: the anti-codon, which is responsible for specific mRNA codon recognition, and the 3' end, to which the tRNAs corresponding amino acid is attached (by aminoacyl-tRNA synthetases). tRNAs cope with the degeneracy of the genetic code in two manners: having more than one tRNA (with a specific anti-codon) for a particular amino acid; and 'wobble' base-pairing, i.e. permitting non-standard base-pairing at the 3rd anti-codon position. The record is from RNAcentral. Lineage: Bacteria; Pseudomonadati; Bacteroidota; Sphingobacteriia; Sphingobacteriales; Sphingobacteriaceae.
GGGGUGUUAGCUCAGUCGGUAGAGCAAGCGGCUUUUAACCGCUGGGUCGUUGGUUCGAGUCCAACACGCCCCACCA